This 775-nucleotide ribosomal RNA is filed under the name uncultured bacterium. Its description in RNAcentral is "bacterial SSU rRNA". It matches the Rfam family "Bacterial small subunit ribosomal RNA", at positions 566 to 1341 of the family's 1533-position model. The record is from RNAcentral.
GGUGCGUAGGCGGGUAGGUAAGUCAGUGGUGAAAUCCUGGAGCUCAACUCCAGAACUGCCAUUGAUACUAUCUAUCUUGAAUAUUGUGGAGGUAAGCGGAAUAUGUCAUGUAGCGGUGAAAUGCUUAGAUAUGGCAUAGAACACCCAUUGCGAAGGCAGCUUACUACGCAUAUGUUGACGCUGAGGCACGAAAGCGUGGGGAUCAAACAGGAUUAGAUACCCUGGUAGUCCACGCCCUAAACGAUGGAUACUCGACAUACGCGAUACACUGUGUGUGUCUGAGCGAAAGCAUUAAGUAUCCCACCUGGGAAGUACGUUCGCAAGAAUGAGACUCAAAGGAGUAGGCGGGGGUCCGCACAAGCGAGUGGAGAAUGUGGUGUAAUGCGAUGAUACGCGAGGAACCUUACCUGGGCUAGAAUGCUGGGGGAUCGCUAGCUGUAAGCUAGUUUUCUAGCAAUACACUGCCAGCAAGGUGCUGCAUGGCCGUCGUCAGCUCGUGCCGUGAGGUGUUGGGUUAAGUCCCGCAACGAGCGCAACCCCUAUCUUUAGUUGCCAACAGGUAAUGCUGGGAACUCUAAAGAAACUGCCGCCGUAAGGUGUGAGGAAGGAGGGGAUGAUGUCAGGUCAUCGUGGCUUUAUGCCCAGGGCUACACACGUACUACAAUGGGGAAGACAAAGGGCUGCAACAUAGCGAUAUGAAGCCAAUCCCAAAAACUUCCUCUCAGUUCAGAUUGCAGGCUGCAACUCGCCUGCAUGAAGCUGGAAUCGCUAGUAA